GCCACACCAGAACUUAAGACACAACUGACAAACAGCUGCUGACACAGGAAGAGGAUGGUGUGCUCAGGUGAGCUCAGGUGUUAUCGUGUCCUCAGGUGUGCUCAGGUGUUAUCGUGUCCUCAGGUGUGCUCAGGUAUGCUCAGGUGUUAUCGUGUCCUCAGGUGUUAUUGUGUCCUCAGGUGUCCUCAGGUGUUAUCGUGUCCUCAGGUGUCCUCAGGUGUUAUCGUGUCCUCAGGUGUCCUCAGGUGUUAUCGUGUCCUCAGGUGUUAUCGUGUCCUCAGGUCUUGCAUCGUUUGGCUGGAGGUUGUACUUCAG
Non-coding RNA from Labrus bergylta (ballan wrasse), 315 nucleotides. NCBI's taxonomy places the organism in Eukaryota, Metazoa, Chordata, Actinopteri, Labriformes, Labridae. The record is from RefSeq and is a predicted model, not a curated record.